AUCUACGGCCAUACCACCCUGAACAAGCCCGAUGUCUGAUCUCAGAAGCUAAGCAGGGUCGGGCCUGGUUAGUACUUGGAUGGGAGACCACCUAGGAAGAUCAGGUGCUGUAGGCA
Molecule: ribosomal RNA, 116 nt
Filed under: Pteropus alecto (black flying fox)
Lineage: Eukaryota; Metazoa; Chordata; Mammalia; Chiroptera; Pteropodidae
Source: RNAcentral